UACGUAGGUGGCAAGCGUUGUCCGGAUUUACUGGGCGUAAAGAGCGCGCAGGCGGUCGUUCAAGUCGAGUGUGAAAGCCCCCGGCUCAACUGGGGAGGGUCACUCGAUACUGAUCGACUCGAAGGCAGAAGAGGGAAGCGGAAUUCCCGGUGUAGUGGUGAAAUGCGCAGAUAUCGGGAGGAACACCUAUGGCGAAGGCAGCUCGCUGGGACGUUACUGACGCUGAGACGCGAAAGCGUGGGGAGCAAACAGG
RNAcentral lists this ribosomal RNA (253 nucleotides) under uncultured bacterium. RNAcentral's name for it is "partial 16S ribosomal RNA". It matches the Rfam family "Bacterial small subunit ribosomal RNA", at positions 524 to 776 of the family's 1533-position model. The record is from RNAcentral.